AUCUAUUUCAUCGGCGGAGCGGAUUUAAUUUACGAAUUCCGUUCUAGAAAUAAUUUCAAUGGUAAUAUCUAUUAACAAAUUCCGUACUUUUGUCACCCGCGCCUCAUUUUCGCUACCGCGAACUUUGCGUUCAUGUGACAUUUCUUCCGUGACUUCCUUGCACAACCACAACAACAAACUGAACAACAACACGAUAACAUUCGGAAAAAUGGCUGCCGAAGGCGCAGAAUUCACUGAUGAAGUUGUUGAGUUCUUAGACAAGGAAUUCGGAGAAGAUCUCGACAGGCUCAAAGAAGUAGAAAAAAUAAUAAAAGAGCGGGAAGAUCUCAGCAAUUCUCUUCGUUUAAAGAUUUCCAAAUGCAGCAAUGAAACUGAUGUGACAAAGGAAAAAGCUCAGUUGGCUGGGAAAGAGCAGUUAGAAGAAAUUGACAGAUUAUUAGAGGAAAAAGAAAUUGAAGAAACAAAAGUCAAAGAAUACUCAAGUAAAAAUGAGGAACUUGUUGAAAAGAUAGGGAAUAUUAAUCAGGAAAUUGAGCAAAUUAAUUGCCUUCAAGUUUACCUUAGCUGGGUUGCCCAAAUAAGUCAUUUGAGCAGUGAAAUGAAGAAGGAACUGACAGCUGGAAACUUGGAAAUUGCCACUGAGUUUUUUUAUAACUUGACAGAAAUAACUGGAAGACUGAAGGAUUCUUCUUGUCAAAAUCUAGUAGACUAUGCUGUUACUUCCCAGGAAUACUGGUUUAAGGCUCUUUCUGACUUGUUAGUGAGAGAGUUGGAUGAGACUUUAAUCAAAAUGAAAUGGCCUUUUGCAACUGGAACAUCGUCACCUCAAAUUGCAGAUAAUAAGGAUGAUGUGAUGUCUAAGUUUUGUGCAAUCACAAAACUUAUUCUCAAACUUGAUUCUCAAAAAAUUAAUUAUGAGAAGACAGGUAAAACUGAUGCUCUCAUCUUGACGAAAAUUCUUGUGAAACCAUUCCAAAAGAGAUUUGCAUUCCAUUUCUAUGGAUCAAGACGAACAAACAAUUUAGAAAAGCCGGAAUGGUAUUUCACACAGAUAUUAAAUUGGAUUAGAGAUCAUUCUUCAUUUCUUGAAAGUUUUGUCCAACCAAUAAUUGAUGAUGCAGGGUAUCUUAACCAUUACGUACAACACGAGUUUAUACAAGCCUUACUGGAAACGUGCAUGGAGAAGAUCAAAACAACACUACCUCAAGUAAUCACAAACGAAAGCCUAUUCUCCCAUCUUAUCGAUGAAACGAUACUUUUCGAUAAUGAACUCCGAUCCUUGUUUGAUUAUCCAAGUCAACUGCCAGGAUGUACAUCUGUCUUGCUUCAAAAGCCCUACCUCGACCAUUGGAUCGAUCUUGAAACGAAAUGCGCAAUUGAUGCAGUAAACAACAUUCUAUUGGGGAACGAAGCAUUCACUUCUAAAUACGGUGACCCUGAUGUAGAAAACAACUUGAAAGUUCCCGCUUGUGUUGAAGAUUUCAUAGAACAGCUAUCACUCAUAACUGAAAAAUACAAAUCGUUUGGCAAUACAGAAGCACAACUUAGAUUCUUGGAUCUACAAUUAAUGCUGUUGGAAUACUUCAUAAAGAAGUUGGAAGAAAUCGGUGACAUUGAGUCUUCAUCGCUGAAUUACAAAGCUAUAUAUUCACUUUUGAAUGGGUCUCAGUUUAUUGUUGAUAUUCUGACCGACUGGACCGAACAAGUUUUUUUCAUACAGUUAUUUUGCAUACGAUCGCAAAAGUCAGAUAAAAUGCUAUCGAAAAGCACCAGACUGGAUGACUCCCUGGCUGAAGAACAAGUAAGUUUUGGCAGUAUGGAUGCAGUCAGUGAUCAGCAGGACUCGCUGUUAGAACGAGGGCUGUUUGAUGACGUAAUCAGUUCCUUGGAGGAUUUCAUCAAAUCCCUAACAACAUCCCUGCUUAGAAACAGCGAGAAAGAUUUAAAAUCAAAAUUAAAGCCUUAUCGAGAAGAAAGAUGGCAUUGCUGCCCACCACCAAAAGAUCUCGUCACGCAGAUGCUGUCUAGCUCAGCUUGUAGUGUUUUGAUGAAUGUCAAAGAGACAUUGCAGUCAAUGAAUGACGAACUCUGUUCUUCGAUCUUUGGCAAAGUUUGGCAGAAGUACGCACAAAUUGUUGACAGGCUAAUAUUUGAGGAAGUGAUUUUGGAAAGUCAUUUCAAUGAGGGAGGUGCUUCACAGAUUAAAUUUGAUUUAACAAAAAAUUUGUUCCUGAUCUUUGAAGAGCACACUGCCAAACCGGAUUCGUUUUUUAAAAUGACAAAAGAUGCUUGUACCCUGCUAAACCUUCUUUCUGGAUCAGGUGUGCUACUGCAGGAAGCUUUGAUGUUGUCGGAGAAAAAUAAAACUGAAGAUAAAGAAAAUUGUGCAAAGAAUGCCUUGUUAGAUGUUGGGGUGAAAAAUACAUCGGUAGAAACUGCUUUGAAAAUUUUACGUUCUAGAAUUGACUGGCCAAAAAUUUGACCUCAUUGCUAUGUAUUUAGUAUAAAUUAUAUUAGGCCUAUAGGCCUAUAUCAAUCUUAAAGAUUAGAAUUUUAAUAAUGCAGUCAAUGAAGUUACCCUGACUCAAUCACCCUCUAGCCUCUUGAGUUUAAGUUUUCAGUAUUCUCUUUGAUAUCAGCCUAAUUUCUAUUCUUAGGUAUUCCAUUUUUGUAUUGAACCGUGAACAGGGUUGCUUUUCUACUUUUUUCAGCGAAUUUUUUGAACAUGGGAAAAUUGCAGUCUUGGCAUAAAAAUAGAGAUUUGCUUCUUUGUUUUGCAUAUUAUGUUUAGAUCUGGUCUGUUUCAAAGACUGAGGAAGGCUUUUUCUUAAAUAUUAAACAUCGUUUCUUUACGUCAUACCCGAACAAAGCGUCCAUGAAUAUUCUCUUUGCAACAGAAGUGAUGUGUGAUGAAAUGAUCAUGUUUUUAUGUUGCUAGGAUUUUCAGUAAAUAGAUUAUGCAAAGGGCUGGAGCCCCCCAGUAAUGUCAAACUGUACUAUAUUUUCUUUAUAACAGUGUACCGAAUGGGAAGCAAUACAGUGGGACCCCAGCCCCCCCCCCUCCCAAUAGGAAUUUCGGUUUCACGGCAUUGCAAAGUUAAUCUUUAAACAGCCUGAGGUAGGAGAACAGACAGAGGUGUAGUACUGGGGGGCCUCACGGGACUAAAUUUCUACUUUUGCUAUUGUUUUUUAAACUUUUUAUGCAAGAGCCCCCCCCCCCCUCAUUUUGAUAGCACUACACCACUGAGCACAGGGCCCUGCUAUUGGAGUAAACAAAAGCAAAAUUUACAAAAACGAAACAGAACAGUCUUCAUUGUUACUAAUCAAAACUUUUAUUGCUACUACAUCCCUGAGAUGCACGAUGCCGGAUUGGAUUAACCCGGAUUGGUUUUUUACUUUGGAUCUAGGGGUUUCAGCUGCACGAUGCAGUGAAAAUUCCAAACGCCUUGGAUUGGCAAACCGGGGGGGGGGGAUGGAAAGUCGGUCCUUGAGAUUCUUGCAAACCUGAUGAGAAAACUUCGGGGGAGGGGGAUAGGUGCGUUAUCUAGAUCGUCACAUUUAAAAAACAUUUUUUUGGGAGACAGAAGUUGUAUCCUCCGGAAGAAAAUGUUUCAAUCAGGGGGAAAGGGUGUGGUCUAAAAGGGCGUGGUCCCGGACACACCUUUUGUCCCCCCCUAAAAACCCAGGCUGGAGCCGCCACUGAACCGGAAUGAAAGUCAAUCCAAAAUACCCUGCUUCGCAUUUUAUCCAAUGUAACCACUCCGCUUAUCGUAUUGUUUCGGAUUUGGAAGUAAAAACAGAUCCGGCGUCGUGUCAGAGUCAUGAAUUUUGUGCUGCAGUGGUAGGCCUGACAUUGAUCACAUGAACUCACCUCGAACUGAUUUAAAAAACAGCCUCCGUCAAUAGCAAGUUGUCAACAAACAUGAACGUAUUUUAAACAAAAGAAUUCUUAUGAACAAUGCCGUUGCACAAGUAGAUAGCGGCCUGUGUGAACAGCCAAAAGUGGGGGCAAGUAAGCAUAAACUCGCACUCUUCAUCAAGCGCCCAGCGUGAACCCCGGAUUUAUGGGUCCCGGGUCUAAAGCCCCGGCAAAACGACUGGACAUUUUCACUGAACAUGGACUGGACCAAUGUCCAGCGUAAAUGUUGCGUCGUUUUGCCACCUUGUCCAGUCUUGUUCAGCGAUGUUGAGUGUUGUUCAGUCGAUUUUGAAGGUAGUCAAAAAUGUUCAGUGGACAGGAUUAAAAUUCUUUUGUUCGCAGAUGUUGUAGAGAAAUGUUCAGUCGUUUUGCCACUCUACUGAACAUUGUCCAGUUCGCGCAGGCGCAAUGAAUGUAAUGGAUAGGAUUUGGCGCGAAUUUAUUUCCAUUAUUCAAAUCUUUAACAAACUUUCCUAGUCAACACCGCGAACGAAAUGGAAACAACGUGAAAAUUCAAUUCGACCAAUAGCAGAAAAGGCAUUUUAUUAAUAACGACGAGUCUUCCGAUCAGAUUAGCUUUAGUUCCAAUAAGGAAAGCGAUGUCAGAGAGCAGGAGUACGGUGAUUUUGAUAAACCUAGCUGUCCUAGCCACUUGUCAAUAAUACACUCUAAUUCAUACGAUAACACGGUUAGGACUAUGAAAAGUGUAUUUUCAAAGGUAAAGAGAUGCCCUGUUGCCAGUUUUCCCACCCGCAUUCUUCAACAGGGAAAAAGUUCACUGGACAAUGUUCAGUCGUUUUGCCACCACCAAUAUUUUUUGAUGUUCAUACUCUAAACAAGUGAGCAAUGUCCAGUGUGUGACCAGCGCAAAUGUCCAGUCGUUUUGCCGGGGCUUAAGGCCUAGUUACAGGAAAACAAUGAGGUAUACACCUCAUUGCAGGAAAAGAAGCUGGCUGCGUCCACAAUACACAAUCCUUUCACAGGCGCCUAAACGUGCUUGCCGACUUCCGUUUUGCCUAUCCCCCUCAGUGUUCAUGAUCCAAAGAUAAUCGCACGCGGAAAGCAGCUUGCUGAGACUAAAAGGCUUGUUGGCUAGCAAGUAGACUGUAGUUGGUUACUCACAUGCGCGUGCAAACAAGAUGGAUUUCGAACUUCUUAUUUCAGAAGUGAAAAAACGUUCAGCUUUAUGGGAUCCUAAAAAUCCCAACCACAGUAACAGGGGCUUUACUGAAAAAUGCUGGACAGAGGUCGCAGAAGUAAUGCGGUUAAAAGUGGAUAUUGUGAAGAAGAAAUGGAAAUCACUUAGAGACAACUUUCGUGUCGAAUUGAGAAAGGUGCCAAUCGGAAAAUCGGAUGAUCCUAGUCUGCCAAUUGAUCAGUACCUAUCAAAGUGGGUCUUCUUCAAAAUGAUGUUCUUUCUGAGAGAUCCCAUGGUUGAAAAGAUGUUGUCCGGCAACCAUACAGCUGCUUCGACUGCGGCUGUAUCAGCAGAAACCGUAGACAACGAGCCAAAUGUCACUUCUCCUGUACCCUCAUUGCAGAGUCUGUCGGAGACAAAGAACGUUUUACUUUGGGAAGAAACUGUCCCAAAAAAAGAUGCAACAGUUUAUACGGCCCUUCCAAAAGUAGCGAAUAAAAGAAAACGAAGAAGAGAUCAAAGGGAUGGUGAGGCAGAAGGACUAAUUGCUAUUCAGAUGGAGAAAGUGGACAUAGAGAAGCAUAAACUACAGCUGCUCCUGCAAGAUAACGACAGAAGAGAAAGGGAGGAAAAUGACUUUGACAGACAUUUUGUUUUGAGUUUAUUACCCAUGCUGAAAAAAAUUCCAGAGAGAGAAAGAACUGGCGUAGAAAUUAGACUUAAGCAAGUUUUGCACGAAGCAGUAUAUGGAAAUUUCAACGAAUUUGCAACAUAUAGGCCUUGAAAAAAUAAUCACUGCAUAAGAUACUUCUUGCUACAUAAGUAUUUUUUUAUAAAAUGUGAGAACUCACCUAAAA
Rhopilema esculentum is the source of this 5914-nucleotide non-coding RNA. NCBI's taxonomy places the organism in Eukaryota, Metazoa, Cnidaria, Scyphozoa, Rhizostomeae, Rhizostomatidae. The record is from RefSeq and is a predicted model, not a curated record.